RNAcentral lists this unclassified non-coding RNA (1895 nucleotides) under Mizuhopecten yessoensis (Yesso scallop). RNAcentral describes it as "uncharacterized LOC110460132, transcript variant X1". Lineage: Eukaryota; Metazoa; Mollusca; Bivalvia; Pectinida; Pectinidae. The record is from RNAcentral.
UAUUAACGCAUAUAUUUUAAAAGAUUGGUAUUAGGAAGCACACAUUACUAUAUACUAAAAUGGCUUGAAUAAUCCCGAGUUAUAAACUUUACCGAACGAAACUCUAGUGUUCCGAAGAGCCAUUGGGAACUUCGAGAAAUGUCUGUGAAGUUGCUGGAUUUGAUUAUUCAAAUGACCAUUGGUUUUUGUUGGCCAAAAUGUAAAAGGGUCAGAAAUAGUUCUUAUUGGUGAGAAUCACUGUCAUUUGUUAAUCUGUUGCACGUCAUUUUUAACAUGAAUGAGACAAAUGAAAGUAGUUUGCUGAGGAUUUAUAUGGUGAGGGUCCCGUAGUGCAGGUGUAAUGAUGCCAAACUCGAUAGUGGAGGAAUUUCAAGACAAUACCCUGGCGUGGAUUGCCUCGAUUUGUAGAAAUCUCCCCUCAGAAGACUUAUGCAGUUUGGAAAUAGUGGAAAAGGUGUGCAGGGAGGAAAUCAUAGAAACAGUAAGGAAUCCUUACAGAGACUGUUAAUGUCGUUGCAGAUUACUCUCCAUCACUGCGUAGAUAUGUCUACAAAAAUGCUGGCUACAGAAGAUUUAAGAAAUGUUUUGCAAUUGGACGAUUUGGACCAUUUCAGGAUGAUUUGAUGGUGGACAUAUCGGUUGAGCUACAGAAACUUAAUGUUGACCCAUCUGAUGCUAUUGAAAUCUUCAUGCCAGAGACACUUUUGCAGAUACUCCAACAAAAAGAAGGCAUCAACAGGAUUUUGGCGGAAUAUGUUCUGCAGGGGAACUUUGUUUGAUUUGCCAAUCUAGAAAGUGUGACUGUUGUGAUAUUGGCCACCAAUUGCAUUUUAUUGAGGUUUCAGAUAUUAGAUAAACAAUAGUAGACAGUUAAGCUGUCAAAUCAAGCUGGCCAAUUACUACCUAGAUGGACACUAAAGUGAAGUUACUUAGGUAAAGACUAUCAAUGUGCUGUCUAGCUUCGUAGCCAUGUUUACAACACAACAUGCUGUCAACGAUUUCAUAACAUACCCAACCUGAAAAAAUAUUGGCAAAUAAAAUGUUAUAAAACUGGCCAUUUAUGUUGAUUAAACUGUAUUAUUUGUGAACAAAAUCUUAUCAUGAAAUAUUCAAAUUUUUGCUUAAAACCAAAGGUGUUUUUUCCUUCCAAAAAUGUGCUUUAGUGCAUUGAUAUGUGUUAAUCUUGCUAUGACCAGCAUUUUCAUCAAUCAUCUGCAUUUUAGUUUACAAAACCUUGACAGGUCUGCUGGUGUGUUAGUUCUUGUUGUAUGUUUGGCAUGAGAGCUUUUAUAUCCUCACAUUUGCUGUGAAGUAAAAAAAAUAUGUCACUUUAUUAAUUAAGGCUAUCAUAUUUAUAAUCUUAUAUGGUUGAUAUUGUUUGUGGCUCACCUGCGAUUGAUAUAAUGAAGGUCGGACUUAUACAAAUUUUCCAGUGCUGUUUAGCUUGGUUUCCCUAAAAGUCUUAAGUGCUAGACUAUUCAAAUUUGGACCAUAGUUCAUCUUAGCUUCAGUUUCAGUAUUUGUUCCAGACUUUGAAUCAUAACCCAGUGACUGUUAUCCUCACCAAUACUAAGCUUUUUGUAAAAUAUUCCUCAUCAGUGUUAAUGAUUUCAUUUUCUGAUUUUCUAAAUUUCAUUGAAGUUGAUUAUCAAAGCAGGGACAGACAAACACAACUAUGGAAGUCUGGUAUAAGUUAAUGACCUUUGUGUAUAAACUUAUUAUAAUAUUCAACCUAAAUAUGUUCUCCUUUAAACAACUUGGUAAAGGUAUAACAUAUCAUAUUCUAUUCAUAUCGCCUUGGUUUGUAGACAUAUGAAAAAACAUUGCAAAUUGAAUUAUAUUUGUUUUUGUGCGGAAAUACAUGUAGUUUUACUACCUCAAAAUGUUAUGUUCAU